RNAcentral lists this ribosomal RNA (254 nucleotides) under uncultured bacterium. Its description in RNAcentral is "partial 16S ribosomal RNA". It matches the Rfam family "Bacterial small subunit ribosomal RNA", at positions 524 to 776 of the family's 1533-position model. The record is from RNAcentral.
GACAGAGGGUGCAAGCGUUGUUCGGAUUUACUGGGCGUAAAGGGCGCGUAGGCGGUCAGCACAAGUCAGUUGUGAAAUCUCCGGGCUUAACUCGGAAAGGUCAACUGAUACUGUGCGACUAGAGUGCAGAAGGGGCAACUGGAAUUCUCGGUGUAGCGGUGAAAUGCGUAGAUAUCGAGAGGAACACCUGCGGCGAAGGCGGGUUGCUGGGCUGACACUGACGCUGAUGCGCGAAAGCCAGGGGAGCGAACGGG